CCCUUAGAUGUUCUGGGCCGCACGCGCGCUACACUGAUGCAUUCAACGAGCCUAUCCUUGACCGACAGGUCCGGGUAAUCUUUGAAUCUGCAUCGUGACGGGGAUAGAUUAUUGCAAUUAUUAAUCUUCAACGAGGAAUGCCUAGUAGGCGCAAGUCAUCAGCUUGCGUCGAUUACGUCCCUGCCCUUUGUACACACCGCCCGUCGCUCCUACCGAUUGGGUGUGCUGGUGAAAUGUUCGGAUCGGCCGUUUGUCGCGGUUUCCGCGUCAUGUGGCUGAGAAGUUCAUUCAACCCUCCCACCUAGAGGAAGGAGAAGUCGUAACA
Molecule: ribosomal RNA, 325 nt
Filed under: uncultured eukaryote
Lineage: Eukaryota
Description: partial 18S ribosomal RNA
Rfam family: Eukaryotic small subunit ribosomal RNA
Source: RNAcentral